RNAcentral lists this transfer RNA (82 nucleotides) under Bacillus sp. (in: firmicutes). RNAcentral describes it as "tRNA-Leu". It matches the Rfam family "tRNA". Rfam says of the family: Transfer RNA (tRNA) molecules are approximately 80 nucleotides in length. Their secondary structure includes four short double-helical elements and three loops (D, anti-codon, and T loops). The record is from RNAcentral. Lineage: Bacteria; Bacillati; Bacillota; Bacilli; Caryophanales; Bacillaceae. RNAcentral also lists the same sequence under 11 other names.
GCGGGUGUGGCGGAAUUGGCAGACGCACCAGACUUAGGAUCUGGCGCCUUCGGGCGUGGGGGUUCGACUCCCUUCACCCGCA